AUAAUGAGACACUUGCAUAGCCUUAACUCAUCGUAUAGGGUGCAACUCGGACAUAGUCGGAGUGGUGAAAGUCCAGUGG
Clostridium sp. CAG:354 is the source of this 79-nucleotide regulatory RNA element. It matches the Rfam family "pemK RNA". Lineage: Bacteria; Bacillati; Bacillota; Clostridia; Eubacteriales; Clostridiaceae. The record is from Rfam.